Puntigrus tetrazona (Sumatra barb) is the source of this 542-nucleotide long non-coding RNA. RefSeq lists it as uncharacterized. The transcript is spliced from 3 exons. Lineage: Eukaryota; Metazoa; Chordata; Actinopteri; Cypriniformes; Cyprinidae. The record is from RefSeq and is a predicted model, not a curated record.
GGUGCUGUUUUGAAGGAUAAAGUCUUCAGUCCCCAUUCAUUGUUAUUGCAUAAAAAAGGAAGCCUUUUGUGUUACUUGAAAGAAAGAAAGUCAGACAGGUUUGGAACGACACAAGUGCAGCCUUGAAACUUCAGCUGUUAUAGAAAACCCCUGAAUUAGUAAGCUGUCACGGGUUUACUUGCAAACUGCUCACAGCUACUUGAAAAUUGAAGUUCUCCUUUCCUCGGCAAGCCUCUUCAGAACACUUCAUCCUGAGGGCAGACUAAUUUAAAGGCACCUCUACGUUCAACCCCACGUCCAAAGAGCCAUGCUCCCAUCAACUGGCCCUAAUGAGCCUGAAACGAACCUGAUGAACCUGACUGAGACACAGCUCUGAGGUGCUGAGAGGCUGCCUGCUGCAAACCUACCCAAGCAAAGAGAAUUCAUUACACAGAGGUGCUCUUUGCUCUUCUUUUUAUGGGAUUUAGUUGAAAUCGCAAUAUUUUUUCUGCUGCACAUCUUCCCAAUGUUGUUAAAUCAAUGAUUUUUAAGCGUAGAUAAAA